CUAAUUACUUCAUCCAGAACACCUGUGUAUGUUUAACAGCUGUAAGCUAUGUAUAUAUUGAAACGCAGUUUAUAAUAAACUCAGAGUGGCCAUCAGCCCUCUCCGCAUCUAUCCUGGUGUGUACACUGGAUCGCGACAUCGACACAUGUGCAAGAUUUGCCUUUCAGAUCAUGCUCAAACUGAGCUGAAAAGGUCUCUGUGGCUUAGUAGAUGGAAUACAAGAAAAGGAAUGUUCCUGUACCAAUGCUUGCAAACAGGAAGGAGAACUAGGAGGGGACCAUCAGUUCUGAGAAAAUCUGGGGAGCUAGAAAUGGAUGAUACUGGAUAGACUGUCAGUGUGAAAGGGAGCAGCCUCAACCCAGCGUUCCACAGAUUAAGAAUGCUUCUUUUCGGUCAGCUGCUCUGAACGUUUCAAGUCCUGAAAUCAACAAAAAGUCGUAGUGGGCUGUAGGAUAGCUUUCACGGCCAUUAACAAAUGACUUCACUGUAAUGAUCAUACCCACUCUAAUAUAUGGACCAAAGUGACAGGUGACCCACAUUUCCUUCAGGCUAAACUCUGUGAACUGCAUUUGAGAGACAUGUUUCCUGACCCCAAAGAGAAACAGUAAUUUGAGGUACUUCCAGACAGGAAUAGCAAACAGGAGGGGAAAAUGGAAAUAAGUAGAAAUGCUAAUUAGGUUUCCAAGCGCAAAGUAUAUUCAAGUCUUUCUCUUUUAAAAGAAUGUUCUAUUUCAGCAACUUGAAUUAAGAUCUCUAUUCUGACUUGCCUGUUCCUAAAACAAAAGCAAACAGCCUACAGGCCUCACUCAUUCCACAGAGCCCUCUAACAAAAUUUCCACUACACAGAGAAAAUGACGUGAAAACAGCCCAGUGUCAACUCCACAGGACACUUGAAAUUGAGAGCUAUUCCAAUCCUGAAGUCUGUAAGUUUUUUGUAAAGGACAAAAUAGUAAAUAUUUGAAGCUUCGAAGUGUAUAAGGUCUCUGUUGCAACAAUUCAAUUACUGUCAUAUUAGGAAAGCUGCUAUGCAUAUAUCAUAGAUAAUACAUGAAUGAAAUGGUAAGGCUGUGUUAAAAAGAAAAAAAAUCUGUAUUUAUGAAAACAUGUAGCAGGCUGGAUUUGGGCCACAGGCCAUAGUUUACUGACCCCUGUAUUUAUUCGCAAGCAAUGAAUGGAAAUCCAAGGAUUAACAUAUAUUUGAAGAAAAUAGUGUGAAAGAAAAAGACUAAGACGCAACACAACAAUGCAAUUUAUUCAAAGGAAACAAAUAUGUCACGGAAAAGAAGUAAAGUUGUUGGAAAAUCAAAGCAGUACCCUCAGAAAAAUUGCCUACUAAAUAAAAAAAAAUCACAACUAAAGAAUAAGAAAGUGAUGCUGUAAAAUAAGUAUAAAAUGGCAACUUAAAAAAAAGCAAUAGGUAGACUAAAUAUUAAAAUGUAAAUGACUUAAAUUCAACAUAAACAGAAAGAAAAAAAAUACAUGUAAUAAAGGACAGAAAGUUUAAGGGGCAUGAAAAACAGGUACAAGAAGAAUAACAUUUAUCUAAUUCCAGAAAUACAGAAUAGAGAAAUGAGAAAAGAAAAUAAUAAAUGAAACAAAGAAAACUUCCCAGUAUUAACUAAUAGCAGGUCUUUAUAACAGCAUAAUUUAUAAAAUGCCAAACAAGAAAAUUCAUACAUACGCACAUUGUGAUGACGACAAAGAACUCCAAAUAUAAAAAUGAAAGUCCUUGAAGCUUCCAGAGAAAGAGAGAAUAAGAAAAAAUGUGAAGAGAGUAACAUUUUUUUCCUCCAGAAAGAAUAAGAAAUAGAAAGAGAACAAAAAACCUGUCACAAGCAACAAUAUAUACCAGACAACACUGGAGAAGUGCCUUCACUCUUCUUUUUUUUUUAAAGAUUUUAUUUUUUUCCUUUUUCUCCCCAAAGCACCCCGGUACAUAGCUGUAUAUUCUUCCUUGUGGGUCCUUCUAGUUGUGGCAUGUGGGAUGCUGCCUCAGCGUGGUUUGAUGAGCAGUGCCAUGUCCGCGCCCAGGAUUCAAACCAGCGAAACACUGGGCCGCCUGUAGAGGAGCGCACGAACUUAACCACUCGGCCACGGGGCCAGCCCCUGCCUUUGCUAUUCUUGGGGAAACAAUUUUGAGGUUAGAUUUCUAUGCUAAGUCAAAAUAUUGAUCAAGGCUGAUGACAAGAUAAAUAUGUUUUUGGAUAUUCAAAGACAGAAUUCCUUGGCAUUCCAUUCAAAAUUUCUUGAAAUGGGAUUGUAUUAAGGUACUUUUUAAAUGCCACACAUAGCACAGACAACUAAAUGUGUGUACUCUUCUUAUUUUUGCUUAUGAUAAUCCAUAAAUGUGUAAUUUCAUUUGACUCAGCCAAGUGUAGAUAGACAUAUAAUUUUACUGAUAGUCUUAGACAUAGAACUAAGUCUGGAUGGCACAGAUGGUCUGGGAAACUAAGUACAGUCUUAGUAUUGUCUUUACUCUUUUUGCAUGCAAUUAACAGUGGGGAAAUUCACGGUUAUACCUAUUAUAGCGUUAACCACAUGGUGAUUAGGGGAACGUGCUGGGUACUGUUUUGUUUUGUUUUUUUAAUUACUUGGUCAUAAAAUACUUUAAUUUUUCAGCAGUAAAUGUUCCUACUUCUUCCUUACUCAUCUACAGUCUAAUUCCACCAAUAGACUUGAUCUCUCAAAUUUCAUAAGACUUUCUAAUUAUUGAACCAAUAGGAUCUUGCCUUACCUGUCUUGAUUUUACUGCAAUCACUUGAGUUAUUUCACAAUUUUGUCUAAUGUCUCCUUAUUAUAUCCUUCUAUUGCUUGGUCUCUGAAAAAUCUGAAGUCUCUUUUUUUAAUCUCUUCACUUGACCCUUCUUAGUUUUCUUUUCUGGUUUUCCUUGUUUAACCACCACUUAAGUUCUUAGUGCUUAGCUUUUUCCCACUGCAUUCUCAUAGAACAAAAGCAUUUUCCAUUAUGACCAAAGUAUUAACUACUCGGUUAGUCCCCCAUCUGUAUCUUUCCCCCUGAUAUUUCUCCAGACUUCCAAAGAUGAAAUUCAGAAGACCUGCAGAUAUCGUCCCACGGAUGCCACAUCAAGCCUCUAAUUCAACAUCUCUAAAAUAAAAGUGUUAUUACCCAUCCUCCCAACUUAGGUCUGUUCCUAGAUUCAGUAUCCUCGGUAAAGGGUACUUCCAUCUCUCUUGAACAUGUAGCCCUGGUACCUUGCCAAUUUUUGGCUCUUCCUUCAUCUUCUUCUCCCAUGACUCUUCUCUUUCCUUGAUUUCAAUCUUCCAAUCAGUUACCACCAAUUAACUGUAAGUAGAAAAAUGAAAAGAAUAUUCCUGAGUCAUGCUGAGGAAAAAAUAGAUACUUGACUAAAGAUUGCUGUUGCUUGAUUUAAAAUCAAAUGUAGAAGGUGAGAGUAAGAACUACAUUUCUCAUAGUAAUAGAGAUAUUUGAGAAGAUGCUAGGUAGGGAAAGAAGAGCACCAGGGGAGAGGUGUUUGUCAAAUUUCCUACACUCUGCAUUCAUAGACAUUCUCUUCUCCUAUAAUAGUCCUAGGAAUCCCCCAAAACAAAUUCCAUUUUCCAGAUAACUGAAUAUUUCUUUAUCAAAGCUGAACCAGGAAUCUCAGUGAUAUCUUUCUGAAAGUACGCUGUCAAUUUUCUGCAAUGCUAAUCAAAGAAGGAAAUUCUCCUCUUCGUGGGACUCUCAAGUUGCACCAUGAGAACGUAUUGUGGUAGUUUAACGCAUCUUAGUGUCGCCGGCAAACUGGGGCAAGAAUGAACUUCUUCUCUAUUCAUUAAACUUUUCAAACACGUGUUUAGAUUUUUUGUUUUCAAUUCACAUAGUAUAAUUUUUUUCCUUCUUUCCAUAAAGGUCAGCUAUUUUACUGCCACCGAGAAAGUCGGUUUCCCUCUUUCCAAAUACCUUCUUAAAAUUUUCCAAGGAUUUGGAAAUCAGACAACUCAGCCUAGAAUGUUGAAAUUUUACAAUGUUAAAACUUCUUAAAAUUGCCCCACAAUAUCUGUUAAUAGGUUUUGUGUAAAGACAAGAUAAAUGCACUCUUUAUGAACAUUAUGUUACUUUGUUAUGUAUUUCCCUUCUCAGAAAACUUUUGAGUUGUUCCUAAUUUUCCACAAUGUUUCAGAGAGUGGUGAAUGCCAGAACACCGAUGACUAUAUUACUCUGACCUUUUACUGUAGUUGAGAAGCUUUGACUUACACAUAUUUUAAAUUAUUCCUCCUUCAGAUUAAGUUCCAUUUCCUUUCACUUAGCCCUCUGUGGAGAUGAAUAACAGCUGAUGUCUUGCCUCAGCCGCUAAACCUGCAUAACACCUGAAUACUAUUAUUUGAUCACUUCUUCAACAUAAGGGGGGGGUUUUAGAUUUCUGCUUCAGAAAUGAUGUCUCCUCUGGAACAGAGCAAUGACUUUAGAAGUGCCCUCAGUGCAUCCAGGGUCCUUCUGCAAACCCAUUCUUGGCACUGACCUAUGGUUCCCUGUCGGAAACAGGGAUCAAACCACCCUCAUACCCUAUCCUCAGUCAUCCCCAUUUCUUCCACUGUGAUCAGAGAAUGGGUCUGGAGGAAAGCAGGCUAUGGACAGGGUAUUGUCAUCCACACCACAGAAGAGGAGAAGAAGAUUGUUUGCAACUUGUUCUCUCAUCCUCCAUCCAACUAGUUUUGCUGAAAGAUUUUACUUAAGAAGGGGCCAUUACACCUUAUACAAAAUUUAACUCAAAAUAGAUUAUAAAUCUAAGUGUAAAAUGUAUAGCUAUAAAACUUUCAGAAUAAAACAUAGGAGAAAAUCCUCAUGAUUUAGAGUUCAGCAAAUAGUUCUUGGACAUGACAUCAAAAAUAUGAUCCAUGCGAGAAAAUAAACUAAAACCUUAUUUAGAUUUCACUAAUUGUCACUGGCAUUUCUGUGUAUAUGUGUGUUUGUAUGUAAUACUGUGAACUUUUAACAUGUGUAUAGUAACUAUCACCAGAACCAGGGUACAGAGCUAUGUCAUCACCACAAAGGAAAAUGAGUUGAUCCGUUUUAUAUUACUAUAAGUUUGUCAUAUUAAGAAUAUUAUAUAAAUGGAAUCAUAUAGCAUGUGAUAUUUUGAUAUUAGCUUUAUUUAAUAUGUGUCAUACAUUUGAAACUCAUCUAAGUUGUGAAUAUCAUUAGUUUGCUCUUUUUAUGUCUGAGUAGUAUUGUAUGGAUGUCCCACUGUUUAUCUUUUUGCCACUUGCAUGACAUUGGGUAGUAUGCAUUUUUUGGCAAUUACAAAUAAAGUUGCUAGAAACUUGUGUGUAGAGGUUUUUGUGUGCAUAUAUACAUUCAAAUACCCUGCACAGCAGAUCAAUAAUGACAUUUUAAAUAACAUUUUGUAUCAACAUCUUCAUUUUAAGGAAUUGUGUAUAAAUAAUGAACAUAAUACAAUUAACAAAAGGCAUAAAGAGAUGUUUUUAGUAAUAAUUUUCUGAAGUUUACUUAGAAACAGAUUGAGCAGUAAUUCUUGGGUGACUUUUAGUAAAUUUGGGUUCUCUAUUAGUAUCUUUUUAACUGUUCAGUGUAACUUUUCUCUUUAUAAAUACUUUUUUAAAAUAGUCAUAAUUUAGCUAAAACUUGAAUGAAAAGCUUAUACAGUAGUUUUGCUGGUUAGUCUACCUAUGUUUUAAAAUGUCCUUUAGUUUCUAG
This 5677-nucleotide long non-coding RNA is filed under the name Equus caballus (horse). RNAcentral's name for it is "lncRNA (ENSECAG00000048406.1)". The record is from RNAcentral. Lineage: Eukaryota; Metazoa; Chordata; Mammalia; Perissodactyla; Equidae.